This 460-nucleotide ribosomal RNA is filed under the name uncultured bacterium. RNAcentral describes it as "partial 16S ribosomal RNA". It matches the Rfam family "Bacterial small subunit ribosomal RNA", at positions 338 to 795 of the family's 1533-position model. The record is from RNAcentral.
CCUACGGGGGGCAGCAGUGAGGAAUAUUGGUCAAUGGGCGCGAGCCUGAACCAGCCAAGUAGCGUGAAGGAUGACUGCCCUACGGGUUGUAAACUUCUUUUAUAAAGGAAUAAAGUGAGGCACGUGUGCCUUUUUGUAUGUACUUUAUGAAUAAGGAUCGGCUAACCUCGUGCCAGCAGCCGCGGUAAUACGGAGGAUACGAGCGUUAUCCGGAUUUAUUGGGUUUAAAGGGAGCGUAGAUGGGUUGUUAAGUUAGUUGUGAAAGUUUGCGGCUCAACCGUAAAAUUGCAAUUGAUACUGGCAGUCUUGAGUGCGGUUGAGGUAGGCGGAAUUCGUGGUGUAGCGGUGAAAUGCUUAGAUAUCACGAAGAACUCCGAUUGCGAAGGCAGCCUACUGGACUGCCACUGACGUUGAUGCUCGAAAGUGUGGGUAUCAAACAGGAUUAGAUACCCGGGUAGUC